This 72-nucleotide transfer RNA is filed under the name Ictidomys tridecemlineatus (thirteen-lined ground squirrel). RNAcentral's name for it is "Spermophilus tridecemlineatus (thirteen-lined ground squirrel) tRNA". It matches the Rfam family "tRNA". Rfam says of the family: Transfer RNA (tRNA) molecules are approximately 80 nucleotides in length. Their secondary structure includes four short double-helical elements and three loops (D, anti-codon, and T loops). Lineage: Eukaryota; Metazoa; Chordata; Mammalia; Rodentia; Sciuridae. The record is from Rfam by way of RNAcentral.
GGUAAUGUAGCUUAAUGUUAUGGCACUUGCUUAUCAUGUGCAAGGUUCUAGGUUCAAUCCCCAGCACUGUCA